Molecule: ribosomal RNA, 260 nt
Filed under: uncultured Staphylococcus sp.
Lineage: Bacteria; Bacillati; Bacillota; Bacilli; Caryophanales; Staphylococcaceae
Description: partial 16S ribosomal RNA
Rfam family: Bacterial small subunit ribosomal RNA
Source: RNAcentral
UACGUAGGUGGCAAGCGUUAUCCGGAAUUAUUGGGCGUAAAGCGCGCGUAGGCGGUUUUUUAAGUCUGAUGUGAAAGCCCACGGCUCAACCGUGGAGGGUCAUUGGAAACUGGAAAACUUGAGUGCAGAAGAGGAAAGUGGAAUUCCAUGUGUAGCGGUGAAAUGCGCAGAGAUAUGGAGGAACACCAGUGGCGAAGGCGACUUUCAGGUCUGUAACUGACGCUGAUGUGCGAAAGCGUGGGGAUCAAACAGGAUUAGAU